RNAcentral lists this ribosomal RNA (482 nucleotides) under uncultured bacterium. Its description in RNAcentral is "bacterial SSU rRNA". It matches the Rfam family "Bacterial small subunit ribosomal RNA", at positions 501 to 986 of the family's 1533-position model. The record is from RNAcentral.
CUACGUGCCAGCAGCCGCGGUAAUACGGAAGGUCCAGGCGUUAUCCGGAUUUAUUGGGUUUAAAGGGAGCGUAGGCUGGAGAUUAAGUGUGUUGUGAAAUGUAGACGCUCAACGUCUGAAUUGCAGCGCAUACUGGUUUCCUUGAGUACGCACAACGUUGGCGGAAUUCGUCGUGUAGCGGUGAAAUGCUUAGAUAUGACGAAGAACUCCGAUUGCGAAGGCAGCUGACGGGAGCGCAACUGACGCUUAAGCUCGAAGGUGCGGGUAUCAAACAGGAUUAGAUACCCUGGUAGUCCGCACAGUAAACGAUGGAUGCCCGCUGUUGGUACCUGGUAUCAGCGGCUAAGCGAAAGCAUUAAGCAUCCCACCUGGGGAGUACGCCGGCAACGGUGAAACUCAAAGGAAUUGACGGGGGCCCGCACAAGCGGAGGAACAUGUGGUUUAAUUCGAUGAUACGCGAGGAACCUUACCCGGGCUUGAAC